UGCAUUUACACAACUGAACUGAUAUAAAGAAGUCAAAACAUUGAAAGAACUUCAGGCACUCAGGGACUUCAUAGCACAUCAUAAGAUAUCAACAUCAACUGAAUUUAUUAUCUUACUCUGAGUCCAAACAAUACCUGACCGGAAAGACACGACAGAAGUCCAAAUUUGCCAAAAUUAAAUAUGAAGGUUGAAGCAAUUCAGUUAAACUUCUGACUCUUCUUUUUCCUUUUCCUUCAAAAUGCUGGAGACUUUGCAUUUUCUGGCAAAAAGUCGCCUAGUGACACAGAAUUCCCUUCACAGGUGUACUUUAGGCAAAUGUUUGUUCCAACUGGCUGCUAGAUGGAGAGCUGAGAAGGGAGAAGAUGUGUGA
This 370-nucleotide long non-coding RNA is filed under the name Junco hyemalis (dark-eyed junco). Its description in RNAcentral is "lncRNA (ENSJHYG00000017178.1)". Lineage: Eukaryota; Metazoa; Chordata; Aves; Passeriformes; Passerellidae. The record is from RNAcentral.